RNAcentral lists this ribosomal RNA (403 nucleotides) under uncultured bacterium. RNAcentral describes it as "partial 16S ribosomal RNA". It matches the Rfam family "Bacterial small subunit ribosomal RNA", at positions 30 to 526 of the family's 1533-position model. The record is from RNAcentral.
AUUGAACGCUGGCGGCGUGCCUAAUACAUGCAAGUCGAACGCAGUGGGGACGGGUGAGUAACACGUGGGUAACCUCCCAUCAGAGGGGAUAACACUUGGAAACAGGUGCUAAACCGAUACUGAUGGAUGGACCCGCGGUGCAUUAGCGAGUUGGUGAGGUAACGGCUCACCAAGGCCACGAUGCAUAGCCUACCGGUGAGGUGGAUCUGCCAAACUGGGACUGAGACAGGGCCCAGACUCGUACGGGAGGCAGCAGUAGGGAAUCUUCGGCAAUGGACGAAAGUCUGACCGAGCAACGCCGCGUGAGGGAAGAAGGUUUUCGGAGCGUAAAGCUCUGUUGUUAGAGAAGCGGUAACUAACCAGAAAGGGACGGCUAACUACGUGCCAGCAGCCGCGGUAAUAC